UCCGGCUUAUCACCGGCAGUUUCCUCAGAGUUCCCAGCUUUACCUGUUGGCAACAGAGGAUGAGGGUUGCGCUCGUUGCGGGACUUAACCCAACAUCUCACGACACGAGCUGACGACAGCCAUGCAGCACCUGUGCUCCUCCCACCCGAAGUGAAGGCUUCCUUUUCGGGAAGCCAUAGAGGGCAUGUCAAGGCCUGGUAAGGUUCUUCGCGUUGCCUCGAAUUAAACCACAUGUUCCACCGCUUGUGCGGGUCCCCGUCAAUUCCUUUGAGUUUUAAUCUUGCGACCGUACUCCCCAGGCGGGAUGCUUAACGCGUUAGCUACGCCACCGGGAACUACGUUCCCGACAGCUAGCAUCCAUCGUUUACAGCGUGGACUAC
RNAcentral lists this unclassified non-coding RNA (380 nucleotides) under uncultured Rickettsiales bacterium. RNAcentral's name for it is "contains 16S-23S intergenic spacer region". Lineage: Bacteria; Pseudomonadati; Pseudomonadota; Alphaproteobacteria; Rickettsiales. The record is from RNAcentral.